CUUAUUCCCUGUGUAGGAAGGUUAGAUCUGCUAUGAUUAGACUGGAAUUAAUGGAUCUGAAAAUGAAUCCAAGUGAUUGAAUUAGUUCUAGACAACUUUCUCACAUCAGUCCCUGGAUGUAUAGUAUGUGGGGGAGGAACCUAAGACUGCCAAAAGGAUUAAUUGCAGUAGGAGGGGUAACACAUUUCGUAUCUUUAAUUCCUGGUUCUUCAGGUGUACACAUUGCUUUGAACUGGAACUAAAGUAGAAGCAUACUUGAGAGCCAUGUUGUCCCUUGGUGUCAGCAAAGAUGGUGUCAUUCCACCUACCGAGGAAGAUCGCAGGAAGAUCAUCAGGCAGAUGAAAGUGCGCACCACAUUAAAAGGGGACAACAGUUGGAUCAACCCACAGAACUCAGAUUCUGAGGAUGAAAGAAAGAGUCCAUUGUAAGUGGGAUUACCCCUGCCAGCUUUUUGUCCCUGUCUCUCCCC
This 470-nucleotide long non-coding RNA is filed under the name Crocodylus porosus (Australian saltwater crocodile). Its description in RNAcentral is "lncRNA (ENSCPRG00005007142.1)". The record is from RNAcentral. Lineage: Eukaryota; Metazoa; Chordata; Crocodylia; Crocodylidae.